AUUGAACGCUGGCGGCAGGCCUAACACACGCAAGUCGAACGAGUGGCGGACGGGUGAGUAAGGUCUGGGAAACUGCCUGGUGGAGGGGGAUAACUACUGGAAACGGUAGCUAAUACCGCAUACCAUCGGAUGUGCCCAGGUGGGAUUAGCUAGUAGGGGGGGUAACGGAUCACCUAGGCGACGAUCCCUAGCGGGUCUGAGAGGAUGAACAGGCACACUGUAACGGAGACACGGUCCAGACUCCUACGGGAGGCAGCAGUAGGGUAAAUUGCGCAAAGGGCGCAAGGCGUAUGCAGCCGUGCCGGGUGUAUGAAGAAGGCCUUGGGGUUGUAGAGUACGUUCAGCGAGGAGGCGUUUCUCGCAGAAGAAGCGCCGGGUAACUCCGUGCCAGCAGCCGCGGUAAUUC
RNAcentral lists this ribosomal RNA (406 nucleotides) under uncultured bacterium. RNAcentral's name for it is "partial 16S ribosomal RNA". It matches the Rfam family "Bacterial small subunit ribosomal RNA", at positions 29 to 526 of the family's 1533-position model. The record is from RNAcentral.